This 1755-nucleotide long non-coding RNA is filed under the name Macaca fascicularis (crab-eating macaque). RNAcentral's name for it is "lncRNA (ENSMFAG00000047368.1)". Lineage: Eukaryota; Metazoa; Chordata; Mammalia; Primates; Cercopithecidae. The record is from RNAcentral.
UGUUUUUAGAUGUAUUUUAUUAUAUGUGCAUACCUAAACACAGAAGUCUUAAUAUCUUUCAUAAAUAUCUUUCAUAAACAUUUCAGUAUUUAUUCAUAUGUAUUUUUUCCAUGUUCUUUGGUCAUUCAAUGUUCAUAAUAGACUUUAUAGUUAUCUGAGGGAAGUCGGCUGUGUAGUCAAUCUUUUGUUUUAACCUAUAAAAUGGCUAAUACAGGAUUUUCAUCCUGUGGUCACAGUGACUAUUCAAAGAUUUAUGGAGGUAAAUUGAUCUGUAAUCCUAAAUGAUCAUAAAAUAAUAUAAGUAAAUUUGUCUUAAGCUUUUCCAAAUACAUUCUGCCCUCAACUUGUUUUUAUUCUCCUGAGUGUCAAACCAAAACUUGUUUCUGAAAUGCUGCAGUUGAAACCCACUAAAGUAAAAGAAAUGGGACUUUUUACCCCCUAGCAAGACAAGGUCAUGGAAUUGGAAGAGUGAGGUCAUAGGGCAACAGCAUGACUUGGUGUGAUAGCAGCAAAUUCUGGAGACUGUUCUAUUAAAGUAUCCUUUAUAACUUGAGGAAGGAUAUUUAAUUCAUGUUUUUGACUAUAAUUCUAUUCAUUUAUGACCCUUUCUUCCCUGUAUUCUCAUCUUAGAUACUCUCAGAGGUGGGCAGCAGAGUGGAGAAAGUUCUUUGUUGACUAAAGGAAUAUAAUGCUAAAGAAGAGAGGAGCUAUCACCUUGUUUAAGGUACUCUUGGAGGCUUGAAAGAGCAAACCAGUUACUCCCAGCCUGUGCAACAAGCCCUAACCAGAUCACUAGUACCACAGAUUUUUCCACCAGCACUGCCAUGCCCAUUUAUGCCUUUUGAUUUUGACACUGUAGUUCUAAGUGCCUUGUCUUAAUGCACUCAAUAACUCAGUUUCUUUUUCAGAAAAAUGACAUAGCUUAUCUAAUAGAAAUCUAGAAAGCAGCAAAUACUGAAAAAUGAAAGUAAAAUGUUUUGCUAUAGGAGAUCCUAUAUCCAGGAUUUAAACUGUUUUAAUUGCAUCUGAGUCAUACUAUCAUGGAGAACACAUGGUUUAUUCCAAGGUCUCUCAAAAGUUAAUUUCAGAAGAAGCAACUUCUUUGUGGAGUCUAAUUUUUUCUACAUGGGAAGUGGGUACCUUUUUUGUUUUUCCUCUGAAUAAGAUAAAUAUCAUUAAGCAUCAUGGCUGAAAAGAAAUGAUCUAUAUUACCAACACUGUAUUUAUCAUAUGUAGUAAUUAGCUUUUAGUCAUGUACUUAAUAAUAUUUUGAAUAUUUAUCUUGAACUUUUUUCUAAUCUUCCCCAACUUUUUUUUUUUAAUAGUUAUUCCUUUCAAACUCCAGGUAACAGUAUUCCUGAGAAUACAUCUUGUGACAGUUUUAUGCACAUACAUAUAGAUACUUUAGCCAUUACACAUAAACAUUCAACACAUUACAUUCAACACAUUUAAGGGCACCUUAAAUGGAACAGAUGCACACAUCUGCAAAAUUUCAAUAGUCCCAGUAUGAAAACAUUCCUACUCUGUAAGGCCCUGUUUCUCAGAGUGGAGGCUUUUUUGCAAGAUACAACAUUGCUUAGCUUAUUGAAAGUUUCUAAUAGACUUCCACACACAAGAGUGAAGGAGUCAGGCUAAAAGGCAGACAGACCAGCAUAAUCAUGUUCAAAACAGCCCAACAGUUUUUAAAUACAUAUAAAGGUAUUUAUGAUUCUUGUUGGAUAUUUAACAAUCUUCUUUGACUUCUUUGCUAUUUAA